RNAcentral lists this ribosomal RNA (600 nucleotides) under uncultured bacterium. RNAcentral describes it as "bacterial SSU rRNA". It matches the Rfam family "Bacterial small subunit ribosomal RNA", at positions 44 to 689 of the family's 1533-position model. The record is from RNAcentral.
UGGCCUAACACAUGCAAGUCGAACGCAUCCUUCGGGAUGAGUGGCGCACGGGUGAGUAACGCGUGGAAAUCUACCUCGGGAUGGGGAAUAACCAUUGGAAACGAUGGCUAAUACCGCAUACGCCGGAAACGGGAAAGCUUUAUGCGUCCUGAGAUGAGUCCGCGUUAGAUUAGAUAGUUGGUGGGGUAACGGCCUACCAAGUCGACGAUCUAUAGCUGGUCUGAGAGGAUGAUCAGCCACACUGGGACUGAGACACGGCCCAGACUCCUACGGGAGGCAGCAGUGGGGAAUAUUGGACAAUGGGCGCAAGCCUGAUCCAGCCAUGCCGCGUGAGUGAAGAAGGCCUUAGGGUUGUAAAGCUCUUUCGACGGGGAAGAUGAUGACGGUACCCGUAGAAGAAGCCCCGGCUAACUCCGUGCCAGCAGCCGCGGUAAUACGGAGGGGGCAAGCGUUGUUCGGAAUUACUGGGCGUAAAGGGCGUGUAGGCGGGAUAUCAAGUUAGGGGUGAAAGGCCUGGGCUCAACCUGGGAACUGCCUCUAAAACUGAUAACCUAGAGUUCGGGAGAGGAUAGCGGAAUUCCUAGUGUAGAGGUGAAAUUC